Non-coding RNA from Rattus norvegicus (Norway rat), 10943 nucleotides. NCBI's taxonomy places the organism in Eukaryota, Metazoa, Chordata, Mammalia, Rodentia, Muridae. The record is from RefSeq and is a predicted model, not a curated record.
CUUUGGCAUUCUACAGACCAGACAAGAGGGUGGAUGGCCAGUGGAACCAAAAGUAGCUAUAGUUGUUUUCAGUGAAAACAGGUUUGGUUACUUAGCAACCCAGCCAGGAGUACCAGGGCCAGAUGGCCUUUUGUGACAUCAUGCAAGCAGGAAGCAGAGACCAAGAGAGCUGGCACAGGAGCUGAGUGAUACCCAGCUCCCUCCGUGCUUCCCCUCAUUCUUCCACAAGACUCUGCGAUCUCCAGCUAAUGUUUCUCCAACUAAUGUUUGGCUGUUGGUCUUUGCAUCUGUUUCUAUCAGCUGCUGGAUGAAGUCUUUUAGAAGACAGUUAUCUCGACUCCUGUCUACAAGCAUUGCAGAGUAUCAUUAAUAGUGUCAGAAGUUGGCUCUUCCCAUGGGGGUGGAUCUCAAGUUGGGUGUAAGACAUUUCACAAAUUCCAUGGACUGCUGAAGACCAAGGAAGGAGACAAGGCUGGAUAUAUGGUGUACAUGACACUCAAAGCAAGACUGUGAAUAGAAAACCUGGCCCUCAAUAUGAAACUCACAAGAAUACACAUCAAUCUUACAUAGUUGUGGGGAGCUGUUGGAAUCUCCUGAUCUCAGACAAGUCAAUAGGAGUUUAGCAAGGCUGUCUUCUGAGAAGCUCCGCCCAGAAACUGAUUCAGAUGGAUGCAGAGAUCCACAGCCAAAUAAUGGAUGGAGCUUUGGGAACUCUUAUGGAGUAGGAGGAAGGACUGAAGCCCAGGAGGGUAUAGGAAAUCCACAGGAAUUGCAACAGAGUUAACUAAUAUGUACCAUUGGGAACACUGGGACUCUCGGAUACUGAUUCACCAACCAAAUGUCUGUCAGGAAUGACUGUGUCCAGAUAGCAGAGUGAUGAAGUGAUCUUGUUGUCACAGCACUUUUGCUUCUAAGCCUGGAAGCAGUCUGGAACUCAGCGAUGAAGAUUGUGAAUAAAGAAAAUUCAUAUUUUUUAAAUGAAUGAACAAAAACCUAAAGUGAUUUUAGGGUGACAGAUUUCCAACCAUAUGCACUUCACCUUCCAACUCCUCUGUGACCUCCUGGUUGUCACAGAAUCUUCUGAUCCAGUAGGGUGCCUACACGGAUGUUCUGGAGACCUACACGAUGUCUGGGUUGCUGCCAAUGACUCUGAGGUAAUGGGAACCAGUUUGGUCUCUGUUAGAUCAGAAGACUUUGGAUGGAGUUUUGUGUGGAGUAUUGUGAGAAGAAGGUGAGGCAGUGGAGUUGUUGGGGGAAUUCUGUGCUGCUCUGAGGUAGUGUUGGCAGUCUGGCAAUGGGGAAAAUUUUAAAAGGGCUACUUUUGUUUGCUCUCUUGAUAUGAAUUACCUACCACUUGUUUACACAAAAGCACACUGUAGACACUAUCUUCUGCCCUCACUGUUUGUAACCAGAAGGGAGAUGAAGUUUUACUGGAGACAUUUGAUCCCCAUGAAGACAUGCUCCUUAAAUGAAAUUGGUGCUUAAAAUUUUGUAAAACCAUACAAAUUAAGAUGUGUCUAGUCUUUCCUCAUUGAGUUUUACCAUGUAAUGAAUAAAUAGCCUUUUGUUAAUGAACAUGUAUAGAAGAUACAAUGACCUCUACAGUGUUGUUAGGAUUCUUUAAUUCAUUUUUAAUUUAUUUUAAUUCACUUAAAUUCAUUUAGGUAUCAAAAUCCCUAAGGGGAAACUCCUAAGAUUUUUGAAGAGUUUAAAAGAAAACUCUAUCUCUGUAUAUGUGCUCCAGUACUAACAAUAAUAUCCCCUCAGGUUGCAAGGGUGCUGGGGAUUUAGUUAGACCCUUCGUUAUUUGGCCAUAGCAUGAAGAAUUAAAAGAAAUCAACUUUAUUAAACAGACACAACUAGCUUCAGCCCCCACUAGGUAAUUUUCGACUUCCUUCUUUGCUGUUUCUCACUCAGGCUUACAAAGAUGGGAAUUGUAAAAAUGCUGAAGGUAUUAUUGCUCUAUUCAUGAAUUCAUACUAGAAACACAUAGAUAAAAUAUAGCAAAUAGAAAUAAUUCAAAUGAAAGGAAGGAUGCUUCCAAGUGCUUCAUUGCACAUGAGGACAUACGGGAAAAUUUACUGAACAGGGGUGCAGGAGGAAUUCCAGGUAUUUGAUCGUUUCUUAGGGAGUCUGGAGACUGUCCUUCGGUUUUUAUGUCAGCCAUCAUAAUGACAACAGAGGCUCAGAUCCAGCUGAAGAGUCCAGAUGGAGUGUAAUGAAGGAUGAGCAUCCUCACCGCCCUUUGCUCUUCACUAAGCCUAUGUCUAUCAAAGCAUUCCUGAAGGAAGAGAUGUGUGGAUUUGAUAAAUAUUUUCCCUGUCCUCAGCAACAAUAGCUGAAAAUGUUUAAUUAGCUAAAAAAAAAAUUGUUACAUCAUGAAGACUCUCAAAAUGAAGACUUUGCUGCUUCUGAUCACUGGUUAUUAUCCGAACAACAAAUUCACUACAAAAUCCACUGAACAUCCAAUGGCCACCUUAUCUCCAAAUACCGUAAUUAUGGACAUCCAUGCUAUGGGACCAUAGCACAGGAAAAGAGCACUGACAAAGUCCACAAAGCAUAAUACCCUCCUUUGAACAUGAGACUACAUGCAUGGUAUCUUCUCACUGCUAAAUCGAUAUCAGCCAAAUAGUACAGAACCCACAGACCUUAACAACUAUAACAAGCAGAAAAGCCCAAGGACAAAUAUGGAGAAGGAAACUGAAGGAAAGGCAGUCCAAUGAUUGGCCCAACUUGUGAUCCAUCUGAUGGCAGGUCAUCAAGGUCUGACACUGUUACUGAUGUUACGAUGUGCAUCAGCCUGACAUGGCUGUUCUCUGAGUGCCCCUAACAGGAUCUGACUGAGACAGAUGCAGAUACUUAUACCCAACCAUUGAACUGAAGUCAGGGAUCCCUAUGGUUGAAUAAGGGGAAUGUGACUCCAUAGGAAGACCAGUAGUCUCAACUAUCCUGGAUCCCAGAGACUGAACCACCAACCAUGGGCAUACACUGUCUGGCCAGGGCCCCUGGCAUGUAUGUUAGGAGAGGUCUGCCUGGUGUGGUCUCAGGGGGCGAAGAUUUGUGUUGGAGAGACCUGAGAAAUACUUUUUCCAUCUACUUUUAUUGAAAAUCUUCCUUGAUGUAAGAGUCUGAAAUUGCAUCCAAUCUCAUAGAGUUUGUAAAGUAUCUAUCUAGGCUUAUUAUUAUUAUUAUUAUUAUUAUUAUUGUUGUUGUUGUUGUUGUUGUUGUUGUUGUUGUUUUAGAAUCUUCUUGUGAAGUUAAGUGUUUCUCUAACAAAUACAUUCUCCCUCCAGAAGUUAUUUGGACAUUUUUCCUUGCAGAUUUUGUUCUGUAUUAAGUGGUUUAGUGUUCUGAUUAUUAUGUGCUGAAAGGACUUUAUUUUCUUGCCCUUUCUGUUUUUCUGUAUGAUUUUUGGACCUUGAUAGGUUCCUCCUUUUUUUUUUUUUGUUGUUGUUCUUUUUUCGGAGCUGGGGACCGAACCCAGGGCCUUGUGCUUCCUAGGCAAGCGCUCUAUCAUUGAGCUAAAUCCCCAACCUGGUUCCUCCUUUUUUUAAGAAAAAUUUUAUUCUAGUAUUUUUCAGAGCUGGACAAAGAAUUCUCAACAGAGGAAUCUCAAAUGUCUGAGAAGCACUGAUACAUAAACCACACAGAGACCCAACAAAGAGAACUUCAGGCCAAUUUUACUUGUGAAUAUUGAUUUAAAAACAUGCUAAAAUUCUUACAAGCUUUAUCCAGGAACAUAUCAAAACCAUCGUUCUCUAUGAUCCAGUAGUCUUCAUCUCAGGGAUGCAGAAGUGUUUCAAUAUACAAAAAUCCAUAAAUAUAAUACACUAUAUGAAGAAACACAAGGAAAGUGGUCACGUGAUCCACAUGAUCAUCUCAUUAAAUGCUGAAAAUGCCUUGACACAAUACAACAUCCCUUCUUGUUAAAAGUCUUGGAGAGAUGACAAAUUCAAGGCACACACCUAAACAUAAUAAAAGCAAUAUACAGCAAGUCCACAGAGAACAUAAAAUUAAUUGGAGAGAAACUAGAAGUAAUCCCAUUAAAAUCAGAGACAAGACAAGGCUGCCUGUUCUCUCCCAAUCUAUUCAAUAUAGGACUUGAAAUUCUAGCUAGAGAAAUUAGACAACAAAAGGCAAUUAAGGGAUACAAAUUGGAAAAAAAUCAACACAUCACUAUUUGUGGAUGAUUUUAUUGUAUUCAUAAGCGACCCCCAAAAUCCCAUCACAGAACUUGUGCUGCUGAUAAACAACUUCAUUAAAGUUACUGGAUAUAAAAUUAACUCAAGCAAAUCAAUAACCUUGCUCUAUACAAAUGAAGAAUAGACUGAGAAAAAAAGUGCGAGAAACAACCCACUUCACAAUAGCAACAAAUAAUAUAUUUGGUAUAAUGGUUAUCAAGCAAAUGAAAUAUAUGUAUGACAAUAACUUCUAAUCCCUGAAGAAAGAAAAUAAAGAAGACCUCAGAAGAUGGAAAGAUCUCCUAUGCUCAUGGAUCAGUAGUAUUAACACAUGAAAAGGUCCAUAUUACCAAAACCAAUCUACAGAUUCUGUGCAAUACCCAUCACAAUUACAAUACAUUUUUUACAGAAAUGGAAAGAACAAUUCUCAAUUUCAUGUAGAAAAGCAAAAAAUAUUUUAGCAGGAUAGCUAAAAUAAUCCUCAACAAUAAAAGAUAUUCAAGAGGAAUCACCAUCCAUGACCUCAAGGUGUAUUACAAUGGAAAGAUAAAGAUUUAAUGGUAGUGGUACACAGACAGACAGAUUGAUCAAUGGAGUGAAAUCAAAGACACAGAAAUAAACCUACACACCUAUGGAUGUUUGAUCUUUGACAGAGAAGCCAAACCACAGAGUGAAAAAAGGAAGCAUCUUCAAUAACUGAUGCUAGUCUAAAUGGCAUUCUGUAUGUAGAAGAAUGAAACCAGUCCAUAUUUGUUACCUUGGACAAACCUUAAGUCCUUAUGGAUCAAGAACCUCAACAUAAAACCAGAUACAGUGAAUCUAAUAGAAUAAAAACUGGGAAAGAGUCUUUAAUUCAUUGGCGCAGGGAAAAAUUUCCUGAACAGAACAUCAAUCUCUCAGAAUCUAAGACCAACAAGUGAUAAAUGGGACUUAAUGAAACUAAAAAGAUUAUGUAAGGCAGUGGAUACCAUCAAUGGGACAAAUCAUCAAUCUACAGUUUGGGAAAAAAUAUACUUACAAUCCCUAAAUCCUAUGGAGGACUAAUAUCCAAGAUACAUAAUAAACUUAAGAAGAUAGACUCCAGAAAACCAAGUGACACAAUUAAGAAAUGGGCUACAGAGCUAAACAGAGAAUUUACAAUAGAGGAACUAUGAAUGGCUGAGAAGCACUUAAAGAAAUGUCCAAAUUCCUUAGUCAUCAGUGAAAUACAAAUUAAAACAAAUCAGAAUGGGUAAGAGCACACACUUAAGGAAAAGAACAUGCUGGUGAAGAUGUGUAGAAAGAAAAACACUACUCCAUUGCUUGUGGAAUUGCAAACUGGUACAACCACUCUGGAAAUCAAUAAUGCCAGUAUCUCAGAAAAUUGGAAUACUUCUACCUGAAGACUCAGCUAUGUCACUCCUGUGAAUAUACCCAAAGAAGCUACACCAAACCACAAUGACACGUGGUCUGCUAUGUUCAUAGCAUCUGUAUUUGUAAGAGCCAGAAGUUGGAAACCACCCAGAUGUCCCUCAAUUGAACAAUCGAUAGAGAAAACGUGGUUCAUUUAUACAAUUGCAUACUAGUCACCUAUUAAAAACAAGGACAUCAAUGAAUUUUAAAAGCAGAUGAAUGACACUAUAAAAUAUCCUGAAUGAAGCAACUGAGUUCCAAAAGGAUAUGCAUGGUAUGUACUCACUGAUAAGUGGAAAUUAGUCAAAUAUUCAGAAUACACAUGAUACAAUUCACAGGUUAUAGUAAGCUUAGCAAGAAGGCAAGGCACAAGUGUGGAUACCUCAAACCUACCAAUAAGGGAGAACAAAAUAAUCACAGGAGGCAGAUGGAUGGAGGAAGGGAGGGGAAGAGGGUAGGGCAGGGUCAGGUAUGGGAGGAAACAGGAGAGAAGCCCAGAGGGCCACGAGAAUGAAUCAAUAUAUACAGCAGUGUGGAGUGCAGGUAGGGAAACCAUAGAAAGUCCCAGAGACCUGAGAGUUGAGAAGCUCCCAGGAUUCAAUGGGCAUGGCAUUAGCCAAAAUGCCCAAAGAUGGGGAAAUAGAACUUGAAGAGUUCUCUAGGAGAGAGGCAUGACCCCUAGUUGAGGCAUGGGGCUUCCCACCCACAUUUGAAUUUUUGGACCCAGAAUUGUUUCUGUCUAAAGGAAAUGGAGGGACAAAAAUGAAUAUGAGAAUGAACAAAAGACCAUCCAGUAACUGGCCUAACAUGGGCUACAUCUCAUGUGCUCAUAUCAACCCUCGACACUAUUACUCAUGUCAUAGUGUGCUUGCAGGUAGAAACCUGACAUGGUUGUCCUUUGAGAAGCUCUACCAGCAGCUGACUGAGACGAAUUCACAUACAUAUUUUCAACCAUUGCAUUGAGGUUGGGAACCCUAUGGAAAUGUUACGGAAAGAACUGAAGGAUCCUAGAACACCAUAAGAAAAACUACAGUGUCAACUAACCCAGACACCUAAGAGCUCUCAGAGAGUAAGCCACCAACCAAGGAGCAUGCUGGACUGGUCCGUAGCCCUAGGAACAUAUACAGGAGAGUCUUGUCUGGACUCGGUGGGAGAGGAUGUGCUUAAAAAACUGGAAACUUGAUAUUCUAGGGAAGAGGGAUGCUGGUAGGCAUGUGGUGGGUGUGGUAUGCAGGUGGGGGAGCACCCCCCAGAAGCAGGAUGAGGAAGGAUGAGGUCUUUGGGAAGGUAGUAUCAGGAAGGGGGCAACUUAUGGAAUAUGAAUAAAGUAAUUAAAAUAAAUAAUAAAAAUAAUAUUUAAUGCUUUAAUAAAAAUAGUAUUUUAUGUGCUUUUGAGUUAGGUUUCCUUAUCUUCCUCUGGUUAUUACUCGUAGGUUUGAACUUUUCAUAGUUUUCCACAUAUCCUGAAUACUUUUAGUCAAAAGAUCUUAGAUUUGAUUUUUUUAGUCUUGCCCUCAACGUGUGAGGUUCUCUGUUCUAUUUCCUAUAUUCUAUACACAAGUCUUUGCCUGAGGUCAUGAUCAAAGUCUUAAAUUGUUCAUUUUCAGAUUUUUCUUGGUUUAGGUUUUCUUUAUUGUUUAUAUUUCCUAUAUAGUCUUGACUUUCUUUUUUUAUUUCAUUCCAAUGUUUGGGAUUCCAUUGUUCUCAUCAGUGGAUUCAUGCAUGUACUUUUUUUUUGACCUUUAUAAAUAAUGGCAUUAUUUAUUUUUUUUAUCUUUAUUAACUUGAAUAUUUCUCUUUACAUUUUGAUUGUCAUUCCCUUUGCCGGUUUCCGGGUCAACAUUCCCCUCACCCCUCCCCUCCCCUUCUAUAUAGGUGUUCCUCUCCCCAUCCUCCCCACAUUACCGCCCGCCCCCCAACAAUAACGUUCACUGGGGGGGUCAGUCUUGGCAGGACCAAGGGCUUCCCCUUCCACUGGUGCCCUUACUAGGCUAUUCGUUGCUACCUAUGCAGUUGGAGCCCAGAGUCAGUCCAUGUAUAGUCUUUGGGUAGUGGCUUAGUCCCUGGAAGCUCUGGUUGCUUGGCAUUGUUGUUCAUAUGGGGUCUCGAGCCCCUUCAAGCUCUUCCAGUCCUUUCUCUGAUUCCCAUUCUCAGUUCAGUGGUCUGCUGCUGGCAUUCGCCUCUGUAUUUGCUGUAUUCUGGCUGUGCCUCUCAGAAGAGAUCUACAUCCGGUUCCUGUCAGCCUGCACUUCUUUGCUUCAUCCAUCUUAUCUAAUUGGGUCGCUGUAUAUGUAUGAGCCACAUGAGAGGCAGACUCUGAAUGGGUGUUCCUUCUGCCUCUGUUUUAAACUUUGCCUCCUUAUUCCCUGCCAAAGGUAUUCUUGUUCCCCUUUUAAAGAAGGAGUGAAGCAUUCGCAUUUUGAUCAUCCCUCUUGAGUUCCAUGUGUUCUGUGCAUCUAGGGCAAUUCAAGCAUUUUGGCUAAUAGCAACUUAUCAAUGAGUGCAUACCAUGUGUGUUUUUCUGUGAUUGGGUUACCUCACUCAGAACGAUAUUUUCCAGUUCUGUCCAUUUGCCUAUGAAUUUCAUAAAGUCAUUGUUUUUGAUAGCUGAGUAAUAUUCCAUUGUGUAGAUGUACCACAUUUUCUGUAUCCAUUCCUCUGUUGAAGGGCAUCUGGGUUCUUUCCAAUUUCUGGCUAUUAUAAAUAAGGCUGCUAUGAACAUAGUAGAGCAUGUGUCUUUGUUAUAUGUUGGGGCAUCUUUUGGGUAUAUACCCAAGAGAGGUAUAGCUGGAUCCUCAGGCAGUUCAAUGUCCAAUUUUCUGAGGAACCUCCAGACUGAUUUCCAGAAUGGUUAUAUCAUUCUGCAAUCUCACCAACAAUGGAGGAGUGUUCCUCUUUCUCCACAUCCUCGCCAGCAUUUGCUGUCACCUGAGUUUUUGAUCUUAGCCAUUCUCACUAGUGUGAGGUGAAAUCUCAGUGUUGAUUUGAUUUUCAUUUCCCUUAUGACUAAAGAUGUUGAACAUUUCUUUAGGUGUUUCUCAACUAUUCGUCAUGCAUAUACUUUUUAAGGUUUUUAAAAACAGUCAUAGUAGUUAUUUUGAAAUCCUUGUUCUUUAUGCUCUAGCUAUGUUGCAUUUCUCCUGGCCUAGUGCAGUAGGGUUCCUGCAUUCGGGUAGAGAAAUGUCCUGUUUGUUAAUGUUUGUUUUACAUUGGCAUCUAUGAACCUGAUUUUCAGAUUAUUAUUAUUUUAGGUGUUGAUAUACAAUCUUUUCUUUGUAAGUUGAUCUUCCAGUCCUUAGUUUCUGCUGUUUUCUCUAAGUCAUAAGACAAUAUUGGUAUGGGUUAGUUGUUAGGGAGUUCUGAUUUUCUGCCAGUUUUGGCAACUGGAGCUCUUGGGUAGAACACAUGUCUAUGCACUGGGAGAUGGCAAGCAGGAAUCAGCAUGGCAUAAAAGUAGUGGCAGGCAGGACAUGUUGCAAAGGUCCAUAGGAAGGAGGAAAUCUGGGUUUGACAGAAGAAUCUGGAGAUCCCACUAGGAAUGGUGGGUGAAAGGGAAGACAGACCCCUCCAGCUUGACUGCUACAGGACUGGAAAUGAGCCUUCAGAAUUGGAAAUGGGGAAUAUACAGAAAAGAGAGUGAAGAUCACAUCCCUGAUUCCCUGGCCCUCAUGCCUAACCUUUCCAGGAAGAGACUGCCUUGGCUAUUGUCGGAUAAGACAAAAGUAAAAUUUUGGAAAGAAGGAUAUAGAAGAGGACUUUCUCUGUUCUCUGUGAGUGAAGGCAGAGAGAAAUUGAUGUGCUUUUGUUUUUAACCUUUUUUUCUAUUGAUGGUGAACUUACUGAUAUUUACAUACUAACCUUGAAUUACCAACUGUGAACAGAAACAUUAUUUAGUAUUCCAUAUCAUUUAUUAUUUCAAUAGAUAGUAUUUUAAUAAGAUUUUUGUUUAAAUCACAGAAUAUGUUGGCUUAACUUUCUCACAAUAUCUAUGCAUGCUUUUGACAUUGACCAAAUUUUGGCAUCAUACAACUAGUUAAGAAGUAUUUCUUGUGCCUUGAUUUUUCUGGAAAAUAUGCAAAAUUAUGUUUUUUCAUGAAUUUGUUAUAAAUUUACUACCAAUACUUCAUAGACUAGUGUACUUACUUAAGUUUUAUUAAGAACUCACUGAAUUACAAUACCAAUGAAGGACUAGCAAGAACGAAGUUGAAUGUAUAACAGUCCUGAGCUGCCAAAGGUUAGCAGAUGCAAUUAAAGCACCAGUUCAGCAAAUGACAGUCACAACGUAUACCCGGUUGUGAUUAUGCAGUGUAAUGAUAGAAGCAAAAAGCUUUUAGCCAGCAGACUGUUUCUAUGCUUUUAGAUUCUGUUUCUUCUGGUUGUAAAAAUUCCAGUAGAUCAUCCCAGAUAUUAGGUAUUUCUUUCAUUUAAGUAAAAUUUGUAGGCCUGAAGUUGUCAAAAGUGUUCCUUCAUUGAAAUUGUCAACCCAUUAUAAGACUAGGACUAAGUGGCUCCUGGCUUUUAAAUGGUUUUUAUUGCUUUUUGUCUUCUCCUCCGUGUUGUACUGGCAAAUUAUAAUUUAAGUGCAAUAAUAAUUGUAUUGAUUUUUAAAAUAAAUACCAGUUGGAUAAUGCAGAUUGGUACAGUUGUUCAGAUCACAUAGCCUUUUAAUAAUUUUUAAUUGACAUAAUUAUUAGCAGUAGGAAAAUAUCCAGUUUCCAAAUAAAAUAUUAUUAUUCUAUCUACUUGGCCACCCCAGUCAUUUUUAUUCUUAUAUUUUUUAAAUCAUCUCAGUUUAUAAAUGUUUGGAAUUCUGAGCUCUUUUGGAAUUACUUACCUCUUUAUAGGUUGAUGUCUCCCUGAUCAGUAACAAUCUUUCAUAACCAGAUCUCUGAGUUAAAUCACUGUAUAGCUAAGCCUGUUAUCUUCUCUGAUGAAAAGGCGGCUUAUGUUUUCCCAUCAAUUUUUAGCUCAUUUAAGACUAUACAUAUUAUGUAAGCUUAUUGCAGAAAUUACAUAAUUAGAUGUAGCUUUCAAACUGGAUAACUUUUAUACUUAUACCUUUGAAGAUUGACAAUUCAUUUUAUAAUGAAUAUUUAUAUAAUAUAAAUACUAUCUACUUCUCCCUUUUUAUUCUGCUUUUUCUUCUAACUUCCGAGAGUUUGUGAUUUCUCAUUUAUCUUCUCUUAAUAUCCAUUGUCCUUUGAAAUCUGUUGGUAUACCAUAAUAUUUAAAAUAAAAUAUAUCUAAGUUACAGAAUACUCAUGAUACAACACAUAGACCAUAUGAAGCUUAAUAAGAAGGGAGGUUCAAGUGUAGUUACUUCAGUUCCACUUAAAAGGGGGAAAAUAAUCAAUGGAGGUAGAGGGAAAA